GCAAACUUGGUCAUUUAGAGGAAGUAAAAGUCGUAACAAGGUUUCCGUAGGUGAACCUGCGGAAGGAUCAUUAUUGAAUUAAUGGAUUUGGGCUGUUGCUGGCUUGUGAAGCACAUGUGCACGCGCAUUUCCUUAUUUCUCUACACCUCAUGUGCACUCGUGUAGUUCCAAAUAUGUUUCAAACCCGCUUAACAGUUGGCUUGGAAUCGAGAAAUUGCAGUGGUCGGCGGUACAUAACGUCCCACUGCUUUUCUUGAAUAUUUUGGUUCUAUGUCUUUUUGGCUUUAUAAACAUCCAAUGUGAAAAAAAGAACUAUUGAAUGAAAUACAUACAACUUUCAACAACGGAUCUCUGGGCUCUCGCAUCGAUGAAGAACGCAGC
RNAcentral lists this unclassified non-coding RNA (381 nucleotides) under uncultured fungus. Its description in RNAcentral is "partial contains small subunit ribosomal RNA, internal transcribed spacer 1, and 5.8S ribosomal RNA". The stretch from base 1 to 73 matches the Rfam family "Eukaryotic small subunit ribosomal RNA", at positions 1759 to 1831 of the family's 1831-position model. The record is from RNAcentral. Lineage: Eukaryota; Fungi.